Molecule: ribosomal RNA, 119 nt
Filed under: Pteropus alecto (black flying fox)
Lineage: Eukaryota; Metazoa; Chordata; Mammalia; Chiroptera; Pteropodidae
Also listed under: 1 other name
Source: RNAcentral
UGCUAUGGCCAUGCCACUCUGAACAAGCCCACUCCCGUCUAUUCUCGGAAGCUAAGCAGGGGCAGGCCUGGUUAGUACUUGGAUGGGAGACCAUGUAGGAAGACCAGGUUCUGUAUAAA